This 253-nucleotide ribosomal RNA is filed under the name uncultured bacterium. RNAcentral describes it as "partial 16S ribosomal RNA". It matches the Rfam family "Bacterial small subunit ribosomal RNA", at positions 524 to 776 of the family's 1533-position model. The record is from RNAcentral.
UACGUAGGGUGCGAGCGUUGUCCGGAAUUAUUGGGCGUAAAGGGCUCGUAGGCGGUCUGUCGCGUCGGGAGUGAAAACUCAGGGCUUAACCCUGAGCCUGCUUCCGAUACGGGCAGACUAGAGGUAUGCAGGGGGGAACGGAAUUCCUGGUGUAGCGGUGGAAUGCGCAGAUAUCAGGAGGAACACCGGUGGCGAAGGCGGUUCUCUGGGCAUUACCUGACGCUGAGGAGCGAAAGUGUGGGGAGCGAACAGG